Molecule: ribosomal RNA, 270 nt
Filed under: uncultured prokaryote
Description: partial 16S ribosomal RNA
Rfam family: Bacterial small subunit ribosomal RNA
Source: RNAcentral
GUGUCAGCAGCCGCGGUAAUACGGAGGGUGCAAGCGUUAAUCGGAAUUACAGGGCGUAAAGCGCACGCAGGCGGUUGGAUAAGUUAGAUGUGAAAGCCCCGGGCUCAACCUGGGAAUUGCAUUUAAAACUGUCCAGCUAGAGUCUUGUAGAGGGGGGUAGAAUUCCAGGUGUAGCGGUGAAAUGCGUAGAGAUCUGGAGGAAUACCGGUGGCGAAGGCGGCCCCCUGGACAGAUACUGACACUCAGAUGCGAAAGCGUGGGGAGCAAACA